UACGUAGGGACCGAGCGUUGUCCGGAAUCAUUGGGCGUAAAGAGCGUGUAGGCGGCCAAUUAAGUCCUGCGUGAAAUCUCGGGGCUCAACCCCGAGCGGUCGUGGGAAACUGGUUGGCUAGAGUGCGGGAGAGGAGAGUGGAAUUCCUGGUGUAGCGGUGAAAUGCGCAGAUAUCAGGAAGAACACCCGUGGCGAAGGCGGCUCUCUGGACCGGUACUGACGCUGAGGCGCGAAAGCUAGGGUAGCAAACAGG
This 253-nucleotide ribosomal RNA is filed under the name uncultured bacterium. Its description in RNAcentral is "partial 16S ribosomal RNA". It matches the Rfam family "Bacterial small subunit ribosomal RNA", at positions 524 to 776 of the family's 1533-position model. The record is from RNAcentral.